AAAAAGCGGAGGAAAAGAAACCAACAGUGAUUGCCUAGUAACGGCGAGUGAAGCGGCAAAAGCUCAAAUUUUAAAGCUGGCAUCUUCGGUGUCCGCGUUGUAAUUUUGUGAGGCAUCUCCGGGUAGGGCGCCAGCCUAAGUUCCUUGGAACAGGACGUCACAGAGGGUGAGAAUCCCGUGCUUGGCUGGCUGUCCCCGCCCACGUGAGGCGUCUUCGACGAGUCGAGUUGUUUGGGAAUGCAGCUCAAAAUGGGUGGUAAAUUUCAUCUAAAGCUAAAUAUUGGUGGGAGACCGAUAGCGCACAAGUAGAGUGAUCGAAAGAUGAAAAGCACUUUGAAAAUAGAGUUAAAAAGUACGUGAAAUUGUUGAAAGGGAAGCGCUUGAGACCAGACUUCGGUAGGGGGUGAUCAGCCGUCCUUCUGGGCGGUGCACUUGCCCCCCUCCGGGCCAGCAUCGGUUGAGGCGGCGGGAUAAAGGUCCCGGGAACGUGGCUCCUUCACGGGAGUGUUAUAGCCCGGGUGAAUGCCGCCAGCCUCGACCGAGGACCGCGCCCGCAAGGGUAUGGAUGCUUGGCAUAAUGGUCUUCAGCGACCCGUCUUAA
RNAcentral lists this ribosomal RNA (601 nucleotides) under Morchella punctipes. RNAcentral describes it as "eukaryotic LSU rRNA". It matches the Rfam family "Eukaryotic large subunit ribosomal RNA", at positions 45 to 657 of the family's 3401-position model. The record is from RNAcentral. Lineage: Eukaryota; Fungi; Ascomycota; Pezizomycetes; Pezizales; Morchellaceae.